GACGAACGCUGGCGGCGUGCUUAACACAUGCAAGUCGAGCGAUGACGACCGAGCUUGCUCGGUCUGAUUAGUGGCGAACGGGUGAGUAACACGUGAGCAACCUGCCCUUCACUCUGGGAUAACCUCGGGAAAUCGGGGCUAAUACCGGAUAUGAGCUCCUGUCGCAUGGCGGGGGUUGGAAAGUUUUUCGGUGAAGGAUGGGCUCGCGGCCUAUCAGUUUGUUGGUGAGGUAGUGGCUCACCAAGGCGAUGACGGGUAGCCGGCCUGAGAGGGCGACCGGCCACACUGGGACUGAGACACGGCCCAGACUCCUACGGGAGGCAGCAGUGGGGAAUAUUGCACAAUGGGCGAAAGCCUGAUGCAGCGACGCCGCGUGAGGGAUGACGGCCUUCGGGUUGUAAACCUCUUUCAGCAGGGAAGAAGCGAAAGUGACGGUACCUGCAGAAGAAGCGCCGGCUAACUACGUG
This 467-nucleotide ribosomal RNA is filed under the name uncultured bacterium. Its description in RNAcentral is "partial 16S ribosomal RNA". It matches the Rfam family "Bacterial small subunit ribosomal RNA", at positions 28 to 507 of the family's 1533-position model. The record is from RNAcentral.